Transfer RNA from Schizopora paradoxa, 89 nucleotides. It matches the Rfam family "tRNA". From Rfam's summary of the family: Transfer RNA (tRNA) molecules are approximately 80 nucleotides in length. Lineage: Eukaryota; Fungi; Basidiomycota; Agaricomycetes; Hymenochaetales; Schizoporaceae. The record is from Rfam.
GGUUCUUUAGCUCAGCCGGUUAGAGCUUCGUACUUAUAAGGAGAACUGUUGUUAUGCGAAGGUCCCGAGUUCGAUCCUCGGAAGAACCA